UACGUAGGGGGCAAGCGUUGUCCGGAAUCAUUGGGCGUAAAGCGCGUGUAGGCGGCCCGGUAAGUCCGCUGUGAAAGUCGGGGGCUCAACCCUCGGAUGCCGGUGGAUACUGUCGGGCUAGAGUGCGGGAGAGGCGAGUGGAAUCCCUGGUGUAGCGGUGAAAUGCGCAGAUAUCAGGAGGAACACCAAUUGCGAAGGCAGCUCGCUGGAACGUUACUGACGCUGAGACGCGAAAGCGUGGGGAGCAAACAGG
This 253-nucleotide ribosomal RNA is filed under the name uncultured bacterium. Its description in RNAcentral is "partial 16S ribosomal RNA". It matches the Rfam family "Bacterial small subunit ribosomal RNA", at positions 524 to 776 of the family's 1533-position model. The record is from RNAcentral.